CGCGUAGGCGGCCUGUUAAGUCGAACGUGAAAUCCCCGGGCUCAACCCGGGAACUGCGUCCGAUACUGGCAGGCUCGAAUUCGGGAGAGGGAUGUGGAAUUCCAGGUGUAGCGGUGAAAUGCGUAGAUAUCUGGAGGAACACCGGUGGCGAAGGCGGCAUCCUGGACCGACAUUGACGCUGAGGCGCGAAAGCCAGGGGAGCAAACG
This 207-nucleotide ribosomal RNA is filed under the name uncultured bacterium. RNAcentral describes it as "partial 16S ribosomal RNA". It matches the Rfam family "Bacterial small subunit ribosomal RNA", at positions 568 to 774 of the family's 1533-position model. The record is from RNAcentral.